RNAcentral lists this ribosomal RNA (562 nucleotides) under Planotetraspora sp. 316D03. Its description in RNAcentral is "bacterial SSU rRNA". It matches the Rfam family "Bacterial small subunit ribosomal RNA", at positions 93 to 671 of the family's 1533-position model. Lineage: Bacteria; Bacillati; Actinomycetota; Actinomycetes; Streptosporangiales; Streptosporangiaceae. The record is from RNAcentral.
GAGCGGCGAACGGGUGAGUAACACGUGAGUAACCUGCCCCUGACUCUGGGAUAAGCCUGGGAAACUGGGUCUAAUACCGGAUAUGACAUCUACCUGCAUGGGUGGGAUGUGGAAAGUUUUUUCGGUUGGGGAUGGGCUCGCGGCCUAUCAGCUUGUUGGUGGGGUAGUGGCCUACCAAGGCGACGACGGGUAGCCGGCCUGAGAGGGCGACCGGCCACACUGGGACUGAGACACGGCCCAGACUCCUACGGGAGGCAGCAGUGGGGAAUAUUGCGCAAUGGGCGGAAGCCUGACGCAGCGACGCCGCGUGGGGGAUGACGGCCUUCGGGUUGUAAACCUCUUUCAGCAGGGACGAAGUUGACGUGUACCUGUAGAAGAAGCGCCGGCUAACUACGUGCCAGCAGCCGCGGUAAUACGUAGGGCGCAAGCGUUGUCCGGAAUUAUUGGGCGUAAAGAGCUCGUAGGUGGCUUGUUGCNGUCUGCCGUGAAAGCCCGUGGCUUAACUGCGGGUCUGCGGUGGAUACGGGCAGGCUAGAGGCUGGUAGGGGCAAGCGGAAUUCCU